This 869-nucleotide ribosomal RNA is filed under the name uncultured bacterium. RNAcentral describes it as "bacterial SSU rRNA". It matches the Rfam family "Bacterial small subunit ribosomal RNA", at positions 62 to 952 of the family's 1533-position model. The record is from RNAcentral.
UCGACGAGAGAAUUGCUAGCUUGCUAAUAAUUCUCUAGUGGCGCACGGGUGAGUAACACGUGAGUAACCUGCCCCCGAGAGCGGGAUAGCCCUGGGAAACUGGGAUUAAUACCGCAUAGUAUCGAAAGAUUAAAGCAGCAAUGCGCUUGGGGAUGGGCUCGCGGCCUAUUAGUUAGUUGGUGAGGUAACGGCUCACCAAGGCGAUGACGGGUAGCCGGUCUGAGAGGAUGUCCGGCCACACUGGAACUGAGACACGGUCCAGACACCUACGGGUGGCAGCAGUCGAGAAUCAUUCACAAUGGGGGAAACCCUGAUGGUGCGACGCCGCGUGGGGGAAUGAAGGUCUUCGGAUUGUAAACCCCUGUCAUGUGGGAGCAAAUUAAAAAGAUAGUACCACAAGAGGAAGAGACGGCUAACUCUGUGCCAGCAGCCGCGGUAAUACAGAGGUCUCAAGCGUUGUUCGGAAUCACUGGGCGUAAAGCGUGCGUAGGCUGUUUCGUAAGUCGUGUGUGAAAGGCGCGGGCUCAACCCGCGGACGGCACAUGAUACUGCGAGACUAGAGUAAUGGAGGGGGAACCGGAAUUCUCGGUGUAGCAGUGAAAUGCGUAGAUAUCGAGAGGAACACUCGUGGCGAAGGCGGGUUCCUGGACAUUAACUGACGCUGAGGCACGAAGGCCAGGGGAGCGAAAGGGAUUAGAUACCCCUGUAGUCCUGGCAGUAAACGGUGCACGCUUGGUGUGCGGGGAAUCGACCCCCUGCGUGCCGGAGCUAACGCGUUAAGCGUGCCGCCUGGGGAGUACGGUCGCAAGAUUAAAACUCAAAGAAAUUGACGGGGACCCGCACAAGCGGUGGAGUAUGUGGCUUAAUUC